This 528-nucleotide ribosomal RNA is filed under the name uncultured crenarchaeote. Its description in RNAcentral is "bacterial SSU rRNA". It matches the Rfam family "Archaeal small subunit ribosomal RNA", at positions 875 to 1365 of the family's 1478-position model. Lineage: Archaea; Thermoproteati; Thermoproteota. The record is from RNAcentral.
UGUGUGUACAAGGGGUGAAUGCUGCGGCUUAAUUGGAGUCAACGCCGGGAACCUUACCAGGGGCGACAGCUGGAUGAAGGUCAGAUUAAAGGUCUUACCGGACUAGCUGAGAGGAGGUGCAUGGCCGUCUUCUCAGCUUGGGGAUAACCCUAACUGAGACGGUAAGCCAGCUCGUGCCGUGAGGUGUCCUGUUAAGUCAGGUAACGAGCGAGACCCCCGUCUUCUGUUGCUACUCCUGCCCGUCUGGGUAGGAAGCACUCAGAAGAGACUGCCACCGAUAAGGUGGAGGAAGGAGGGGGCAACGGCAGGUCAGUAUGCCCCGAAACCCCUGGGCCGCACGCGGCAGAUAAUGGUAGGGACAGAGGGCUCCGACCCCGAAAGGGGAAGGCAAUCCCUAAACCCUACCUUGGUUGGGAUCGAGGGCUGCAACUCGCCCUCGUGAACGUGGAAUCCCUAGUAACCGCGUGUCAUCAUCGCGCGGUGAAUACGUCCCUGCUCCUUGUACACACCGCACAAGGGCGAAUUCGC